Molecule: long non-coding RNA, 4175 nt
Filed under: Salmo trutta (river trout)
Lineage: Eukaryota; Metazoa; Chordata; Actinopteri; Salmoniformes; Salmonidae
Description: lncRNA (ENSSTUG00000021651.1)
Source: RNAcentral
AUAGAUUUAGGGCAACAUUUGUGUGCGAAGCAUUGUGCGAAGUGCAAAAAAUACCAUAAACCUCAUUAUAAUCUUGCAGUGUGAUUUAAUCUGAAAAUGUUCUUCAACGAUGUCCGUUAUGAGGAGGACUAUGUAAGGGAUCAUCAACGAGAGGCUUCGUGUUCUAUGGAAAAUAAUAAACGACUUGGUAGGUGUGUUCCACGAACGCAUAGAGCCCUGAGUUGAUUAUCUCUUAUAUACUGUACCAUGGCUAUAAUUUAACACAUUUGCCGCUCAAAAUGUUUUCAUUUGGCAGUAGAAAUGUGUUCAAUAUCCACUGAAGUAGGAAGCAAGUUUACUAAAUAGCUACAGUAGUUGCCUUGGUAACCAAACAGACUUGCUAGGUUAGCUAACCAAACCAUCAGUCCUAGCUUGCUAUUAUGAAAAUCUAAUUCAACAAUACCAAUGUUUUCAAUUCGACUUUUGCUGCCAAAAGCAGCAUGGAACAUAAGAAUGAACUAUAGCCAUUGAAUUCUACCGUGCUGAUAUACCGUGCGUUAUAGGGAAAUAAUGCACGCUCUAGAAUGCCCUUCAAUCCAAUCAGGAACAACUAUUUAACAAUGCCAUGGUAUAAAUUAAAAAACGGAGCAAUACAUAAAUAGAUUCCUCUUCAAAACGCACACUGUUGAAGAAAAGUUUCAUUCAAUUCCCAUGAUAAUGAGGUUUAUGGUAAGUUUUCCACUUUGCAGUGCACAAUACUUUUGCACCUAUAGCCUAAUCAUGACUCUGGUGUUAACCAUACCCACACUAUACAAUAAUCACUCAGUGUGUGUGUGUGUGUGUGUGUGUGUGUGUGUGUGUAAGUCAGACCUGCAGAUGGAGUUUGAAGAGCUGGUGUCCAGCGCCAGGAGACUAAGUCUCAGCAGCACAGAAAAGCAGAAGAGAGGAAGCAUUGCCAAUGCUGACUCUAGGAUGGACCGCAAGAGAGAGGUUCUGCCAGCAGACGAAACAGGAGAUAGCUGACAUCCACAGAGAUCGACUCAUCCACAACAUGGAACUCAACAGGUAGGAAACUAACACAUUGUCCUCACUGAUGUUUUAGUCACUUUGACAAAUAUUGAUUUAGAACUGAACUGCCGCUUUAACCUUUCCUGUGUUUCCUUUUCUUGUGUGUCCAGGAUGAAGAAAGAGAUUUUCAGUGACCGAAUGGAGGUGAAGAUCGCCAGCGAGGGAAUCAUGAAUAAAUGGGUAGCUGAACUCUCCACUGAAUAGUUAUAUAAUAUCUGUACUCUAACCAACUUUUGUCACAUAAAUUAAACUACAAGGGUUUGGAGAACACAAACAGUACAGACUCUACGUGAUACAGAGCCUUCCGUCUGUCUGUGUGUGUUCAGAACCACCCCCCGUACCGCCAGCGUCUGCAGAAGGGAGAGGGGAAAGAGAGGAAAGAGGACUCAGAGGAGGUGAAGAAUACAAACCAACCUUCUGUUUCUCCAGAGAACCAAAAGACAGCUGGACAAUGACACUGCAACUUUCAGCACAGUGUCUCCCUCUCUCUCUCUCUUUCUCUUUAUGCCACUCAGAUCUACAGAACAUGAUGUCAGUGUUUUGUGCUACAUUAAUAUAUAUUUUACAUUUGUUUUCAUUGAAAUUCACCCAGAUGAUUUAAAUGCCAAUCUUCACACUUCACUAUCUAAAUCGCACUGUGAUUAUUUCCCUUCAGUCUGAUCUCCCUUUCUCAGACGCUGACUUGAAACAGUGUGUGUGUGUGUCGGGCCAGAGCAGGGCCAGUGUGUUUUAUGACAGGCUCAUGUCCUGCCUGAGUGAAGUCAUGAAGGCUCAUUACAGAAACAUAUUACCUCUCAGAGACUCACAGCACACCAGAGAAUAGAGAGAGAGAGAGAGAGAGAGAGUGUGUGUGUGUGUGUGUGUGUGUGUGUGUGUGUGUGUGUGUGUGUGUGUGUGUGUGUGUGUCAGAAGAAGAAAACAAAUCUACAGUAAAAUGAAUGAUACAUACAGCAAACAAAAAAAGUUAUAAAAAAAUACAAUGCUAGAGCUUGAGACUAAGGUUCUAUCUGCAAAAAGAUCAUUCUGAGAUAACUGGCUUUAAAGUUCCGAACCCUCAUUGGUUUGAAUAGUGUCAGCAAUUUUGAUAUUGUAUUAUUUUGAACUUAACAUGAAAUGGGGGUAUUUAAUGUUCUAUACAGGUAGAGAACAUUGAACAGAACAAGGCUAUGUCAAUAACUACAUUCUGACUAAAAUGCAGAUAGAACCUUCUAGUCCCAACAAUGACUUGUGAAAAGUAUUUUUUUAGAAUUUGAGUUCUUUCCACGUUCAUCUCAUUCCUGGUUCUGAGAAGCUAUGCCAUUCUCCUCUGGUUCUGAGAAGCUGUGACAUUCUCCUCUGGUUCUGAGAAGCUGUGACAUUCUCCUCUGGUUCUGAGAAGCUAUGACAUUCUCCUCUGGUUCUGAGAAGCUGUGACAUUCUCCCCUGGUUCUGAGAAGCUGUGACAUUCUCCUCUGGUUCUGAGAAGCUAUGACAUUCUCCUCUGGUUCUGAGAAGCUGUGACAUUCUCCUCUGGUUCUGAGAAGCUAUGACAUUCUCCUCUGGUUCUGAGAAGCUGUGACAUUCUCCUCUGGUUCUGAGAAGCUAUGACAUUCUCCUCUGGUUCUGAGAAGCUAUGCCAUUCUCCUCUGGUUCUGAGAAGCUGUGACAUUCUCCUCUGGUUCUGAGAAGCUAUGACAUUCUCCUCUGGUUCUGAGAAGUUGUGACAUUCUCCUCUGGUUAUGAGAAGCUGUGACGUUAUCCUCUGGUUCUGAGAAGCUGUGACAUUCUCCUCUGGUUCUGAGAAGCUGUGACAUUCUCCUCUGGUUCUGAGAAGCUGUGACAUUCUCCUCUGGUUCUGAGAAGCUGUGACAUUCUCCUCUGGUUCUGAGAAGCUAUGACAUUCUCCUCUGGUUCUGAGAAGUUAUGACAUUCUCCUCUGGUUCUGAGAAGCUGUGACGUUAUCCUCUGGUUCUGAGAAGCUGUGACAUUCUCCUCUGGUUCUGAGAAGCUGUGACAUUCUCCUCUGGUUCUGAGAAGCUGUGACAUUCUCCUCUGGUUCUGAGAAGCUAUGACAUUCUCCUCUGGUUCUGAGAAGCUAUGACAUUCUCCUCUGGUUCUGAGAAGCUGUGACAUUCUCCUCUGGUUCUGAGAAGCUGUGAAGUUUUCCUCUGGUUCUGAGAAGCUGUGACAUUCUCCUCUGGUUCUGAGAAGCUGUGACAUUCUCCCCUGGUUCUAAGAAGCUGUGACAUUCUCCUCUGGUUCUGAGAAGCUGUGACAUUCUCCUCUGGUUCUGAGAAGCUGUGACAUUCUCCUCUGGUUCUGAGAAGCUGUGACGUUCUCCUCUGGUUCUGAGAAUUUGUGACAUUCUCCUCUGGUUCUGAGAAUUUGUGACAUUCUCCUCUGGUUCUGAGAAGCUGUGACGUUCUCCUCUGGUUCUGAGAAACUGUGACGUUCUCCUCUGGUUCUGAGAAGCUGUGACAUUCUCCUCUGGUUCUGAGAAGCUGUGACGUUCUCCUCUGGUUCUGAGAAGCUAUGACAUUCUCCUCUGGUUCUGAGAAGCUGUGACAUUCUCCUCUGGUUCUGAGAAGCUGUGCCAUUCUCCUCUGGUUCUGAGAAGCUGUGACGUUCUCCUCUGGUUCUGAGAAGCUGUGACAUUCUCCUCUGGUUCUGAGAAGCUGUGACAUUCUCCUCUGGUUCUGAGAAGCUGUGAUGUUCUCCUCUGGUUCUGAGAAGCUGUGACAUUCUCCUCUGGUUCUGAGAAGCUGUGACAUUCUCCUCUGGUUCUGAGAAGCUAUGACAUUCUCCUCUGGUUCUGAGAAGCUAUGACAUUCUCCUCUGGUUCUGAGAAGCUAUGACAUUCUCCUCUGGUUCUGAGAAGCUGUGACAUUCUCCUGUGGUUGUGAGAAGCUGUGACAUUCUCAUCUGGUUCUGAGAAGCUGUGACAUUCUCCUCUGGUUCUGAGAAGCUGUGACAUUCUUCUCUGGUUCUGAGAAGCUGUGACAUUCUCCUGUGGUUCUGAGAAGCUGGGACAUUCUCCUCUGGUUCUCACCAUGUGAUGUGUUGACUGCCCCGUGAGAUAUCAAUAACUGUGCUUUGUCAGAAGUUUAUACUCCCCAGUGUUUCUGUUUCAGGAUCCCUAGAACACACAC